Molecule: ribosomal RNA, 237 nt
Filed under: uncultured bacterium
Lineage: Bacteria
Description: partial 16S ribosomal RNA
Rfam family: Bacterial small subunit ribosomal RNA
Source: RNAcentral
CGACGGGUGAGUAACACGUAUGCAAUCCACCUGUAACAGGGGAGUAACCCGGAGAAAUCCGGACUAAUACCCAUAAUAUGGGCGCUCCGCAUGGAGAGUCCAUUAAAGAGAGCAAUCUUGGUUACAGACGAGCAUGCGCUCCAUUAGCCAGUUGGCGGGGUAACGGCCCACCAAGGCGACGAUGGAUAGGGGUUCUGAGAGGAAGGUCCCCCACAUUGGAACUGAGACACGGUCCAA